Molecule: ribosomal RNA, 436 nt
Filed under: uncultured bacterium
Lineage: Bacteria
Description: partial 16S ribosomal RNA
Rfam family: Bacterial small subunit ribosomal RNA
Source: RNAcentral
CUACGGGCCGCUGCAGUGAGGAAUAUUGCACAAUGGGGGGAACCCUGAUGCAGCAACGCCGCGUGGAGGAUGACGCAUUUCGGUGUGUAAACUCCUUUAUAUGUCAAGAAAAUGACGGUAGCAUAUGAAUAAGCACCGGCUAACUCCGUGCCAGCAGCCGCGGUAAUACGGAGGGUGCAAGCGUUACUCGGAAUCACUGGGCGUAAAGGACGCGUAGGCGGGUUGGAAAGUCAGGUGUGAAAUCCUACAGCUUAACUGUAGAACUGCACUUGAAACUUCUAAUCUAGAGUAUGGGAGGGGGAGAUGGAAUUAGUGGUGUAGGGGUAAAAUCCGUAGAUAUCACUAGGAAUACCUAAAGCGAAGGCGAUCUCCUGGAACAUUACUGACGCUAAGGCGUGAAAGAGUGGGGAGCAAACAGGAUUAGAUACGUGUAGUC